GCAUAUGUGUGAGCCGGCCCUGCCCACCCCAUCACCUCUGCCGGUGGAUCCCUGCGAGGAGGAGCAGCCAAGUUCUGCCGGUGCCUCCUCCCAAUCCGCAGCACGACCGCCAGAGCCCACGUCUCUGGUGAGGUGAGCCACGGCGGCCACGCGCCUGCGCCGGCGCCCGCGGCUGACACGUCCCCGAGCAUCUCCUCCGCGUCUCUGGAUCCGGCCGCCGCCGCCGCCUCUCUUCUUGCCCUGCCGUUGUUCCUCAGGUGCAUGAGGCGUUGUGCCUCUGGCACGCGGUGCUCAGCUCCGGUCCGUCAUGGAGGUCGCCGGCAAGCAGGCAGCUGCCCUUUGUGCCUUUUCAUCGUCAGGGAGGAUGCCGUCCAGCAGCGCCGUCCUCGAGGUACGUCUCAGAUCCAUCUUCGUAGCGCGUGGGGCAUGUACUGCAAAGGGCCACCGCAGCUGCAGAAAACCAACAAGGGCCCUCAAGUUCAUCUCUCUAUAUCUCUCUCUCUCUCUCUCUCUCUUUCUCUCUCUCUCUCUCUCACGGAGGAACUCAUGUCGGAUGAGAAAUCAUUUUGUGACUUGGUUAGAUCUCAGGUGGCGGUCCUUUUAGAUUCUCUAUGAUUGUGUAUAGGUAGCUACGUUUUGGGUACUGAACUGUUGAUACAGUUUUGUUAAUGCCAUAGUUUUGGUUAAUGCCAGAUUUAAUCGGCUGGAUAAAGGAAAAUGGUACAAAACCUCUAUUAGAGUUGAAUUCUGCUUGAUGCAUAUAGGAACUGAUAUUGUGAACAUGGGUCCAUUUGGGUUGUGGAUUGAUUUAUUAUGAUGGUGAAACAUGCCUAUGUAGAUGAACGAGUUGGGCUUGGACGUUGCUGGCCGCCGACUUGGUCUGCAAGAGGACGCUCCACUGCCGCGGCAGGCCUUGGAGAGAGGCCCAAGGAGUUUACUUCUAUUUUUUUAUAGUCUUCAGAACUGGAGGGUGUUUGCAUAAAUGCUGCGGAAUUAUACAACUACUUGCUUAGGACAAGGUUCAUAAGAGAUGGAGUGGCAACACAGAGAAUAUUUGCAACUACCAGUCAACACCAUACAUUUGAUUCUUAGCAGGGAAGCUACCGGGGGAAUGAGAAUUUGUAGCAUGCCACUACCAGGCUUACCACUAUCUUGGGUUUGAAGAGAAAAUGUAGUUAAGUACCAGCUGAAGGUAAAUACUCCCUCCGUUCCAAAAUAAGUGUCUUAGGCUUAGUUAGUACAAAGUUGAGACACCUAUUUUGGGACGGAGGGAGGAGAAGAUUAGUGAUCCCUUAUUGAUUACCUGGCCCAUGAUGGCUUUGCACGCCCGUGAUGGCUUUGCGCACACCUUUUUAAUAGUCCUAUUUAUUAAUAUAAUGUGUGAUGGAAGUAUCAGUUUGCUUGGUUUUCAUUGCACUUAUUGUAUAGUUUCCUUCUUUUAUAUUCUUAGAUGGCCUCUUGAUCCAUGGCACUGUCAUGUGAAUGCUCUGUCUUUUCAGUUACAUAGGUUCAUUAUUCAUGCCUCAGGCCAUCUACUUACUGGAAUAGGCAACAAAUGGAGGAGGGUAGACUAUAGACAUUUUCACCGCGUUGUUUCUUUCACGGAAAUCAUUUAUUAUGUACAUGGUUGUUUAAUAUCUUUAUAUUAGUGUUUGAUGUUUAGCUUUAACCAGAAACUUGUGCUAGGUGCUUUCCAUUGGCAUUUUUUUCUAUUUAAAAAAUUGGUCAGAGGACGAAUGAAGCAACAAAAUUUAUGUUGGUCCAUAGAGCCCUACUACAUUCCUUUCCUGGUGAGUCUACUUUGUUGCACGUCAGGUAGCAUACAUAAUAUUUUUUCUUUGGCAUCCACAUUAAGUAAACUUUUGCCCUGUUUCCAUGCUGAAAUAUAUUGAAACAUAUCCCUUAUUGUCUAUUGUUCUGUUAAGUGAGCCAAUUGUGUUUCGUUGGCUGAUUUUGUCCUUUUGCAUUCAAGGCUAAAAAAGGAGUAUUGUCACUCGCUGUCUACCCACUUCGACCAGAUUCAUAUGACAUGACACAUGAGGAGUUAAACAACGAGAUACGAGUGAAACUAUGAGACGACCGAGUGAAACUACUGAACAUUAUGAUUUAGUAGAACUACAUAGGCCGCUCUGGCUUGCUUGGAUAUGUAACAACCCAACUAUUGUCCCUACUUAACGAAGAUCCAUAGUCUUGACUUACUUCUGAAACCAAAUUUAUAUUCCCUCUUUAUCAUUAACCAAAUGUAUCUUACUUGCUUUGCUUUUGGUAUGUCUAAUUGUCUUGCACUUUGGCAUUGAUUUAAACAAAUGCCAUGAGUGUCCUCGGCAAAGGUAAUGCCAUGUUUUUGUUGUAUACUUGCUGUACUGGGAUAAUCCAAUCGCUUAAAUUCACAUUUGACAACUCUAAAUGACCAAAUGCUUUGUUUAAGCGCUUGACAAUAUGUUGAGCCAGGCAUCGCGCGCCAAGGCGUGUUUUCUACCUAAUUGAUUCGUUAUCUGAUUCAAAACACUACUCUUUGCUCCUUUUGUAAUCAGCAUAAUGGUAUUUCUUUUAGAUAUUAUUAAAGCUUCCUAAACAACAUGUGUUGCUGCAGAUACACAUAGAUACCUCCUGUUAAUUUGCUGGUGGCAGUGGCGGCGCAUCAAGGUGCAAUGCAGCCGCGUCAUUUUCAUACUACAGGAAAGGAAGAGCUCCUAAUAAUUUUUUAUGCUCCAUGCUGUGAGCUGUCACCUCUUGCCACAUGUUCGUGCUAAUUAUCAACCAUUUGAUUAAGUCAAAGGCAAUAGGAAGGCAUGAAGGCGAUCAAGGUCCUUAUGUACACCAAGUACUAUCUUUUGUCCAUUAUACCGUAUGAGACUAACUAAGUCGUGCACUAUGUAUUUACUGGUGGUGUCUAUAAGGAGAACAUAUCUGGUCUAUAUUUGAAUCUAUGAACUACUAUAUUGAUGAUGUUGAUUUAUGUCUACAUAGCCUACCUUCGAAUGCUUAUAUAAGCUUGGUGUAUCCUUUGUAC
Triticum dicoccoides is the source of this 3013-nucleotide long non-coding RNA. RefSeq lists it as uncharacterized. The record is from RefSeq and is a predicted model, not a curated record. NCBI's taxonomy places the organism in Eukaryota, Viridiplantae, Streptophyta, Magnoliopsida, Poales, Poaceae. The transcript has 6 exons.